UGAUAUAGAAUAAAGAGAUUUUUUUCUAUAUUUAUAUUCAUACAAUACUAAAAGAUUUAUAAAUUUUUUAAUAUUCAUUUUCAACUAAUAUUCUUAUUUGUAUAAUUAUAUUGACUCUAGCAGAAAUAAGCUAUCAGAUCGGUAUUCUUUCCAAGAAAGUUCUUCCAACUCUAUAGUAUAAAUAUAUAUUUUGUGUGAUUGAAAGAAAUCAAUUGGAAUGGAAAAGAAUAUAACAUGUGAUGAGUAUGUGAAAUAUCCUUUAUUCUUAUACCAUCUCCUGUGCCACGUGCAAUAUUUAAGAACAAAUAAAUAUAUAUUUGAAUAUUUUAUACUAUUAAUAAAAUAAUUAAAAGAAAGUAAAAUUAAAAAAAAAUAAUAAUGGAGCAAGGCUUUUCUACAAAAGCUAUUCAUGCUGGACAAGAUCCAUUACAAUGGAAUGACUGUUCGGUAAUACCUCCUAUUACAUUAUCUACUACUUUUCAACAAGAUGGACCUGGACAACCUA
This is a long non-coding RNA of Apis florea (little honeybee), 505 nucleotides long. Lineage: Eukaryota; Metazoa; Arthropoda; Insecta; Hymenoptera; Apidae. The record is from RefSeq and is a predicted model, not a curated record.